CAUGUCCUUUUGAAUAUAAUUUAAGGUCUGAUCUGCUCAAUGAGGAGUUAAAUUGCCGCGGUAUUAUGACCGUGCGAAGGUAGCAUAAUAAUUAGCUUUUUUAUUGAAAGCUGGAAUGAAUGAUUGGACGAGAAAACAUCUGUCUCUACUUAAUUUUUUGUUGAAUUUAACUUUUAAGUAAAAAGGCUUAAAUGGUUUAGAAAGACGAGAAGACCCUAUAGAGUUUAAUAUUUUAUUUAUUGGGAGGGUUUUAGUAUUUAUUUCUUUCAUUUUUUAAAUUAUUUAGUUGGGGUGACUAGAAGAAAAAAUUAACUCUUCUAUUGUUUUAUUACUGAUUUGUAAAUAAUUAUUCUGGAUUUAUCAAGUUUAAUAUAAAUUACCUUAGGGAUAACAGCGUAAUUUCCUUUUAGAGUUCUUAUUCAAAGGGGAGUUUGCGACCUCGAUGUUGGAUUAAAAUUAAUGUUGGGUGCAGUAGCUCAAUUAUUGGGUCUGUUCGACCCUUGAAAUUUUACAUGAUCUGAGU
This 523-nucleotide ribosomal RNA is filed under the name Cryptalaus sp. UPOL RK0082. Its description in RNAcentral is "partial 16S ribosomal RNA". It matches the Rfam family "Bacterial large subunit ribosomal RNA", at positions 1816 to 2610 of the family's 2925-position model. The record is from RNAcentral. Lineage: Eukaryota; Metazoa; Arthropoda; Insecta; Coleoptera; Elateridae.